UACGAAGGGGGCUAGCGUUGUUCGGAAUUACUGGGCGUAAAGGGCGCGUAGGCGGUACUUCAAGUCAGGCGUGAAAGCCCCGGGCUCAACCUGGGAACCGCGCUUGAGACUGGAGAACUAGAGUUCGGGAGAGGAUGGUGGAAUUCCCAGUGUAGAGGUGAAAUUCGUAGAUAUUGGGAAGACCACCGAUGGCGAAGGCAGCCAUCUGGACCGACACUGACGCUGAGGCGCGAAAGCGUGGGGAGCAAACAGG
This 253-nucleotide ribosomal RNA is filed under the name uncultured bacterium. Its description in RNAcentral is "partial 16S ribosomal RNA". It matches the Rfam family "Bacterial small subunit ribosomal RNA", at positions 524 to 776 of the family's 1533-position model. The record is from RNAcentral.